CUUAAAGGAAUUGACGGGACCCGCACAAGCGGUGGAUGAUGUGGUUUAAUUCGAUGCAACGCGAAAAACCUUACCCACCUUUGACAUGUACGGAACCCUUUAGAGAUAGAGGGGUGCUCGAAAGAGAGCCGUAACACAGGUGCUGCAUGGCUGUCGUCAGCUCGUGUCGUGAGAUGUUGGGUUAAGUCCCGCAACGAGCGCAACCCUUGCCAUCAGUUGCUACGAAAGGGCACUCUGAUGGGACUGCCGGUGACAAACCGGAGGAAGUGGGGAUGACGUCAAGUCCUCAUGGCCCUUAUAGGUGGGGCUACACACGUCAUACAAUGGCCGGUACAAAGGGCAGCAAACCCGCGAGGGGGAGCCAAUCCAUCAAAGCCGGUCGUAGUCCGGAUCGCAGUCUGCAACUCGACUGCGUGAAGUCGGAAUCGCUAGUAAUCGUGGAUCAGCAUGUCACGGUGAAUACGUUCCCGGGUCUU
This 476-nucleotide ribosomal RNA is filed under the name uncultured Comamonas sp. RNAcentral describes it as "bacterial SSU rRNA". It matches the Rfam family "Bacterial small subunit ribosomal RNA", at positions 900 to 1382 of the family's 1533-position model. The record is from RNAcentral. Lineage: Bacteria; Pseudomonadati; Pseudomonadota; Betaproteobacteria; Burkholderiales; Comamonadaceae.